AGGGAUUUAGGAUAAUACUAAACCAAGAGCCUUCAAAGCCCUAAAUAAGAGUGAAAACCUCUUAAUCCCUA
RNAcentral lists this transfer RNA (71 nucleotides) under Aphyosemion gabunense (Gabon killifish). RNAcentral's name for it is "tRNA-Trp". It matches the Rfam family "tRNA". Rfam says of the family: Transfer RNA (tRNA) molecules are approximately 80 nucleotides in length. Their secondary structure includes four short double-helical elements and three loops (D, anti-codon, and T loops). The record is from RNAcentral. Lineage: Eukaryota; Metazoa; Chordata; Actinopteri; Cyprinodontiformes; Nothobranchiidae.